UGUUUGCAGCAUUCGGACAGA
Non-coding RNA from Caenorhabditis elegans, 21 nucleotides. NCBI's taxonomy places the organism in Eukaryota, Metazoa, Nematoda, Chromadorea, Rhabditida, Rhabditidae. The record is from Ensembl.